This 460-nucleotide ribosomal RNA is filed under the name uncultured bacterium. Its description in RNAcentral is "partial 16S ribosomal RNA". It matches the Rfam family "Bacterial small subunit ribosomal RNA", at positions 338 to 795 of the family's 1533-position model. The record is from RNAcentral.
CCUACGGGGGGCAGCAGUGAGGAAUAUUGGUCAAUGGACGAGAGUCUGAACCAGCCAAGUAGCGUGAAGGAUGACUGCCCUAUGGGUUGUAAACUUCUUUUAUAUGGGAAUAAAAUGUUCCACGUGUGGGAUUUUGUAUGUACCAUAUGAAUAAGGAUCGGCUAACUCCGUGCCAGCAGCCGCGGUAAUACGGAGGAUCCGAGCGUUAUCCGGAUUUAUUGGGUUUAAAGGGAGCGUAGGUGGAUUGUUAAGUCAGUUGUGAAAGUUUGCGGCUCAACCGUAAAAUUGCAGUUGAAACUGGCAGUCUUGAGUACAGUAGAGGUGGGCGGAAUUCGUGGUGUAGCGGUGAAAUGCUUAGAUAUCACGAAGAACUCCGAUUGCGAUGGCAGUUCACUGGACUGCAACUGACACUGAGGCGCGAAAGUGUGGGUAUCAAACAGGAUUAGAUACCCGAGUAGUC